Molecule: unclassified non-coding RNA, 250 nt
Filed under: Hevea brasiliensis (rubber tree)
Lineage: Eukaryota; Viridiplantae; Streptophyta; Magnoliopsida; Malpighiales; Euphorbiaceae
Source: RNAcentral
GUGAAGAAGUCAGAAGAGAUUCUGGACACCAUGGACUAGAACCCAUAAAAAGUAUUGGUUUACAGAUUCAGCAUCAAGGGAUGAUUUUCCAGGAAGAGGUAAUGUUACUGAAUGGAAAAAAAACUAUAAACAGAUUUUCAUAUAUUCUGGGGGAACACUAAUCCAUAGCCAUAUACUCUUGUCAAAACCUGCAUAGGGUUUAUACCCGUCUCCUAUUGUCGACUCAUUUUCGCUUGGAUGGUUCUUCUAA